CCCACACCAGGCCCUCCUGGAGACCCUCCUGCUGCGUCUCGUUAUGGGGCCCGACCCUCAGUUUGGUCCGGGAACGGGGGCUGCCUCUCGUCCGAGGACCUGCUGCUACUCCUGGUCGUGGCUGCAGCUCUGUCCGCCUUUCUGUCCGGCUUUCCAUCCGGGGUGCCAGCUCGCCGCUGUCCCCACAUCUGGCUCCCGUGUUCCCGGCUGUCACGCAGGGUCACGUCGUCCCCAAAGUUCUGCUAACACGAAUGAAGUCUCGUUGGUGUGACAUCAAACAGCUACGAAGGCCGUUUCUGUGACCCGGAGGCCACACGCCGAGUCUCCGGGACGAAGCCUCGCUUGGCAGAGCCGCCGGGGCCUGGUCUCUGUGUUCUGUGCCACAGAUGCCACACGACUGUUUCCCACUCCCUGUGUUUACGUGGGACCCAAAGAUAACUGUUUUCCCGAAAUUAAUAUAAUUCCUAAGAUAAUUUUUCAUGAAAUUGGAAAAACUGGUUCUAAAAUUCAUACGAAGGCCGGUGUGGUGGCUCCCGCCUGUAAAUCCCAGCACUGUGGGAGGCCGAGGCGGGCGGAUCACGAGGUCAGGAGAUCAAGACCAUCCUGGCUAACACGGUGAAACCCCGUCUCCACUAAAAAAAUACAAAAAAUUAGCCAGGUGUGGUGACGGGCGCCUGUAGUCCCAGCUACUCAGGUAACUGAGGCAGGAGACUGGCGUGAACCCGGGAGGCGGAGCUUGCAGUGAGCCGAGAUCGCGCCACUGCACUCCAGCCUGGGCGACAGAGCAAGACUCUGUCUCAAGAAAAAAAAUAAAAAUAAAAAAUAAAAUUCGUACGAAAGAGCAAAGAGGGCCGGGCGUGGCAGCUCACGCCUGUAACCCCAGCACUUUGUGUCACGUGCGUCCAUGUGAAGAGACACCAACAGGCUUUGUGUGAGCAACAAGGCUGUUUAUUCACUUGGGUGCAAGUGGGCUGAGUCCGAAAAGAGUCAGCAAAGAGAGGUAGGGGUGGGGCCGUUUUAUAGGACUGGGGUAAACAGUGGAAAGUUACAGUGAAAGGUGGUUACCUAUUGUCAGCAGAGGAGGGGGUCACAAGGUACAUGGUGGGGAGAUCAUAAGACUCAUUGUCCGGAAGAAGAAUGUCACGAGGUCGAUCGAUCAGGUGGGACAGGGCAGGAACAGGUCAUCAUGGAAUGUCGUAAGGUUGGUCAAUCAGUUAAGACAGGAGCUGGCUGUUUCAUUCUUUUGUAGAUUUGGGUUGCCCCAGACUUCUUGGCUCUUGCAGGCCAUCUG
RNAcentral lists this long non-coding RNA (1291 nucleotides) under Homo sapiens (human). RNAcentral's name for it is "HSALNT0246478". Lineage: Eukaryota; Metazoa; Chordata; Mammalia; Primates; Hominidae. The record is from RNAcentral.